UUUCUUAUUUUUUUUUAAUACUGUAUAUAUUUUUUCUCAGCUCUCCAGUUCACAUUCACCAAGGCCAGAUGGAGUUUCACUCAACAGGAUCUGAGGUCACCAACACAGUCUGCCACAAGGAAGCAAUGAUACCCAAGAAGGCAUGUUUGAGUGAUUGUACUGAUGCUACAGCUUAACACAGAUGAGGAACGGCUCUACGCUUGUGGAAAAUUACAUCCUCCACGAGCUUCCCCGUCGGACGCCAUUGUCAUGUUUUCUCAGCAGAGUCUGAGAUCCAACAGGGGGCCUUUCUUCCUCCAGACGCCGACUUUCCACUGGCUGAUUGACGAGAAAAGAAGAGAUGACUUGACUCAAUGCAGCGUAGCCAGGGUAAUCUUCCAGAGAUGCUGGCUAGAGGACGGCCCUGAAAGAUCUAGAGAAGCUGAAGAGCGAAAUCCAUUGGGGGCUCUGUGAUGUUAUCCGAGCCCCUCGCAGUGUUUCUUUUGAACUUGUGCUUCUGAAAAAAAGUUGCGAGAGCAGCAGGUCCAGCCAAAGCCGACGCGCACCUACGGUUUUAAUCAUGUGAUGCGUGAGUGGUCUUGUUUGCUUGUUUUGCUUCUCAUUUGAGUGGUCAUUUUCUUAAGCGUUACUCGUCCUAAUGGGUCCGAUUGGAGCUUCUUCGUUUAAAGCGCUGAUUUGUGAGACUGAAAACAGAUUUCGCAGCGCAUCCGGUAUGACAUGAUUAAAGAGACUCUAAAGUUUUAUGCUCUUUGAAGAGUGGCUUUGAAUACCGAGGCUCCUGAGGCCCCUGUGGAGUGGUAUUAUUCACUGGUCUCUGCAAUAAUUGGAUUUCACAGAGUAUUAUUUUUGCAUUGGAUUUAUUAUUCACUCACCAUAACAAACAUGCAGGGAAUUUGCUCGUGGUUGCUUUCAUAUGUGCGGCUGAUUAUUUAUUUCGUUUGAAACGUCAGAUGUCAGUAUACAAAUAAUGCAUUUCAAGCAACGAGGAAGAACAUCUCUGUUACCCGUUUUACGGCCGAUCUGACACAGCAUCAGAUGUGUCAAAGGCACAUCUGAUGCUCAGACCAUAAAAGAGACGACUUUGAGCUGUCAGCACAUACUUCCUUCCUGCGUUACAUGCUUGAACUCCCCAGGUAUGGUUUAGUCUUUGACACUGUUUUACUCCUGCUUCAUAUCCUUCCUCUUGUCCGCCGUGUUCAUUCACCUGGUGAUGAGGCCGUAGAGUUCAAAGGUAUCAUGAAAAGAUUUGAGAGACUUUCAGUGGCGAACCGACAUCAAAGUUUGCCACGACUGAGUGCAACAGUAGCGUUCCAGAAGCAAACAAUGUAAUUAAGUGUAAACCUGCGGAGACGAGCAUAUAGCGUGAGCUUUGAACAAUGGUGUGCUUCUUUGGAAUCUAGAUGUCUGUGUGCGAUUUCAACUUCAUUUUUGAAGAAGUAGUCAGUUUUAGUAGCCCUUUGCCUUCUUCAAAUGGGGAAAUCAAAUAAUCAUUUACUCACCUUGGCUUUGUUCCAAUGGCAUAUGCUCUUUUUUAUGCUUCACAUCACAAAAUUCUGAUGUGAAAAUAUUUGUAUGAUGACACUGAAUAACAGUCUCACAGAAUGGUUGCAUAUGGUAAAAAAUGAAGCUAAAUGUAAUACACAUUAACCAUAUUUAUUACCAAACGUAAUCUUUCUGAGAGUUGUGAUGACA
This is a long non-coding RNA of Danio rerio (zebrafish), 1692 nucleotides long. NCBI's taxonomy places the organism in Eukaryota, Metazoa, Chordata, Actinopteri, Cypriniformes, Danionidae. The record is from Ensembl.